UUGAACGCUGGCGGCAGGCCUAACCCAUGCAAGUCGAGCGGAUGAAGGGAGCUUGCUCCUGGAUUCAGCGGCGGACGGGUGAGUAAUGCCUAGGAAUCUGCCUGGUAGUGGGGGAUAACGUCCGGAAACGGGCGCUAAUACCGCAUACGUCCUGAGGGAGAAAGUGGGGGAUCUUCGGACCUCACGCUAUCAGAUGAGCCUAGGUCGGAUUAGCUAGUUGGUGGGGUAAAGGCCUACCAAGGCGACGAUCCGUAACUGGUCUGAGAGGAUGAUCAGUCACACUGGAACUGAGACACGGUCCAGACUCCUACGGGAGGCAGCAGUGGGGAAUAUUGGACAAUGGGCGAAAGCUUGAUCCAGCCAUGCCGCGUGUGUGAAGAAGGUCUUCGGAUUGUAAAGCACUUUAAGUUGGGAGGAAGGGCAGUAAGUUAAUACCUUGCUGUUUUGACGUUACCAACAGAAUAAGCACCGGCUAACUUCGUG
RNAcentral lists this ribosomal RNA (483 nucleotides) under uncultured bacterium. RNAcentral describes it as "partial 16S ribosomal RNA". It matches the Rfam family "Bacterial small subunit ribosomal RNA", at positions 30 to 507 of the family's 1533-position model. The record is from RNAcentral.